CCUACGGGUGGCAGCAGUGGGGGAUAUUGCACAAUGGGGGAAACCCUGAUGCAGCGACGCCGCGUGUGGGAAGACGGUCCUCUGGAUUGUAAACCCCUGUCCCCAGGGACGAAGAUGACGGUACCUGGGGAGCAAGCUCCGGCUAACUACGUGCCAGCAGCCGCGGUAAUACGUAGGGAGCGAGCGUUGUCCGGAAUUACUGGGUGAAAAGGGAGCGUAGGCGGGACUGCAAGUUGGGUGUCAAAUCUACCGGCUCAACCGGUAGGCGCACUCAAAACUGCAGUUCUUGAGUGAAGUAGAGGCAGGCGGAAUUCCUAGUGUAGCGGUGAAAUGCGUAGAUAUUAGGAGGAACACCAGUGGCGAAGGCGGCCUGCUGGGCUUUUACUGACGCUGAGGCUCGAAAGUGUGGGGAGCAAACAGGAUUAGAUACCCGGGUAGUC
This 440-nucleotide ribosomal RNA is filed under the name uncultured bacterium. Its description in RNAcentral is "partial 16S ribosomal RNA". It matches the Rfam family "Bacterial small subunit ribosomal RNA", at positions 338 to 795 of the family's 1533-position model. The record is from RNAcentral.